Long non-coding RNA from Schistocerca gregaria, 475 nucleotides. RefSeq lists it as uncharacterized. The transcript has 3 exons. Lineage: Eukaryota; Metazoa; Arthropoda; Insecta; Orthoptera; Acrididae. The record is from RefSeq and is a predicted model, not a curated record.
UGACCUUAUCCUCUUACUCAUGAUAAGGUAUUAUGUAACUAUGGUACAUUAACUGUAAGGUGUCAAAUGUCAGAGUGGGGUUGGGCACUAUACAGGAAGUAAGCCUGGUUCCACGUAGACAUCCAUGGAAGGGAAACAAACACUGCCAACCUCCCAUAGGCAACAUCAACAGGUUUUUUGAAAGAGUGGAGUAACUUGUGACAUAGCUGUGAGAGACCAGUCGUGUGUAUGCAUUCUAAUUUUGACAAUGGCAUUACUGAGAGAGCUCACUUUCCAAAAGUCUUUUCAUUGUGCCUAUCUGUGACUCAGCAUCUCUGCUAUGUGAACAUGGGGAAAACCUAUCUGCAGAAACAGCUCUGCCAAGGAAAAACAAGCAAGCUCUCAAACCGAAGACCUGCUGAUCAAGUUCAGAUGUUAUUCUCAUAAUAAUACAGCUGUCAAACAGGGAAAUCUCUUUGAAAGUAAAUUAUGUAGC